UACGGGGGGAGCAAGCGUUGUUCGGAAUCACUGGGCGUAAAGGGCGCGUAGGCGGCUUUAUAAGUCGGGGGUGAAAGCCUGUGGCUCAACCACAGAAUUGCCUUCGAUACUGUAGAGCUUGAGACCGGAAGAGGUAAGUGGAACUGCGAGUGUAGAGGUGAAAUUCGUAGAUAUUCGCAAGAACACCAGUGGCGAAGGCGGCUCACUGGCCCGGUACUGACGCUGAGGUGCGAAAGCGUGGGGAGCAAACAGG
RNAcentral lists this ribosomal RNA (253 nucleotides) under uncultured bacterium. RNAcentral's name for it is "partial 16S ribosomal RNA". It matches the Rfam family "Bacterial small subunit ribosomal RNA", at positions 524 to 776 of the family's 1533-position model. The record is from RNAcentral.